RNAcentral lists this ribosomal RNA (273 nucleotides) under uncultured bacterium. RNAcentral's name for it is "partial 16S ribosomal RNA". It matches the Rfam family "Bacterial small subunit ribosomal RNA", at positions 85 to 354 of the family's 1533-position model. The record is from RNAcentral.
CCGCCGGCGACCGGCGCACGGGUGAGUAACACGUAUGCAACCUGGCCGUGACAGAUGGAUAACCGGGAGAAAUCCCGCCUAAUACAACAUAAUGCCGGGAGGGGACAUCCCCUGCCGGCCAAAGGGGGCGACCCCGGUCACGGAUGGGCAUGCGGCGCAUUAGGCAGUAGGCGGGGUAACGGCCCACCUAACCGACGAUGCGUAGGGGUUCUGAGAGGAAGGUCCCCCACACUGGUACUGAGACACGGACCAGACUCCUACGGAAGGCAGCAG